This 240-nucleotide unclassified non-coding RNA is filed under the name soil metagenome. RNAcentral describes it as "partial contains 5.8S ribosomal RNA, internal transcribed spacer 2, and large subunit ribosomal RNA". The record is from RNAcentral.
AACAUCGCGCACCUGCGGGAACCUGCGGAGGGAUCAUUACAGAGUUCGUGCCCUCGCGGGUAGAUCUCCCACCCUUGUGUAUUCUCUACAUCUUGUUGCUUUGGCAGGCCGUUGGUUCGCCAACCACCGGCUCGCGGGCUGGUGCGUGCCUGCCAGAGGACCUCUCAAACUCGGUUUGUUAGUGUCGUCUGGGUACCAUAACAAUCGUUAAAACUUUCAACAACGGAUCUCAGAUCGGAA